Heterocephalus glaber (naked mole-rat) is the source of this 2019-nucleotide long non-coding RNA. Lineage: Eukaryota; Metazoa; Chordata; Mammalia; Rodentia; Bathyergidae. The record is from Ensembl.
CGGGGCCCGGUGACCUGUGGUGAGCUGCGGCUUCCGGGUCCCCACUUGACGUCCGGGUGCACCAAGCACACGCGCUGCGUCCCGGCAGGCAGCAGCGGCUCGCUCCGCAGCAGCUCCUCCUCCUCGUCCUCCUCGUCCUCCUCGUCUUCCUCGUCCUCGCCUGGGCGGCUUACGCGGCCCCGAUGUCGGCUCCCCAGCCCAUCCGGGUCCCCCAGGCCCCCGUGGCCGGCGGAGGCGGCAGCGAGCAGGCGUGCGGGAUGGGGCGGCAGGGGCGCCCUGGGGAGCCGGGCAGCGGAGGCCCAGGGUGGAGAGCCAGGGCGCGCGGCGAGACGGCGGCCUCGCAAGGCCCACAUGGCGCCUCUGAGCAACGCGGCGGGGCGGGGCCUCUGACGGAGCAGUCGGCGAGCGAGCGAUUGGUCCGCCGGGUCACGUGCGCGAGAGGGUGGAGCCCAGCUGGCAGGAAGGCGGGCCCGGGCGGCCGCGGUGGCCACGGAGGCCCCCCUCCCGCCCGCUCGCGCCGGGUCCCGGGCAGGGCGCAGGCUAUGCUGGAACUCGAGGGUCCUCCUGCCUCAGCCUCCCGAGCUGGGACGACCACGCGCCCUGCCGAGGCUUCCCGCCCCACUCGGGCGUCUGUCCACCUGCUGGGCGCUGGGCGGAACCCGCGCGGGGACAGGGGGCUGUGCCCACGGGGACGCCGGCGCGAGGGCCUGCUGUCCCGCCCUGGGCCGAGGCACGGACAGCGCGGGCUACCAAACCAUCUCAACUCUUUAUUCUCAACACAAACGUCGAGCCGCCCGCCGCCACGCCCAGGCGGUCCCCGCCGCGCCCCGUGACCAUGGGUGCGGGCCAGGGCGGGCGGGCAGUGUCACAGCGGCUGCAGCUCGGCCUCCGCGCACGGCAGCUCCCACAGGCGCAGGGCGCCCAGGCCGGUCCCGCCCCGAACAGCGGCCUCUGCUCCGCCUCCACGGGGCUCAGCGCCGCCUCCUCGGACCUGCAAGGCGGCAGCGUGUCGGGGACCCCGCGGAACCCCCAGCUCCCAGCCCGCCCGGAUGGGGCACAGGGACAGAGGCGCGCUGGUGGCCCCGACUCUGCUGCCUGUGGGCCGAGGCUGGGGUGGUCGGGAGAGGGGCCGGGACGGAACAGUGGCCAGGGUGGGGCCCGAGUGCCACCGUGGGGGGUGACGGAGGGAUGGCGGGACACGAGGGGGGCCCACACUGACCCGUCCUCCCACGCGUCGCCGCCGCCCUCCUCGGCCACCAGGACGCUCGUACUCCUCGGCGGCGAACCGCUCCCAGUCGGAGAGCUCGGGGCCCUGGCCGUCGCCAUCCUGAGGGACAGGGCGCGACAGGGCCCCCUGCUCCCGCUGCUACGCGCUCCAGGUACUUCUCCACGUUGAAGAAGGUAUCGAAGAAGGCGCCGGCCACCCAGGGCAGCGCUUCAGGUCCACGCAGAGCGUGACCCUCCCUGAUGGGCGGCCGGGCAGGCGGCCGGCGCUGGGCUGGGCUCGGGGGUCCUCCGCACCCCUGCCCCGCGCCCCCCGCCCCCACGCCCCUCACCUGAGCAGCGCGGGCCGCACCAGGGUCCAGCACCUGGCACACGCAGUCCUCGAAGGGCAGCGGCCGAAUGCCCAUGGCGUCCAGCCGGCAGCUCUGCUCGGCGUAGAAGAACUUCGAGCUCGAACAUGGACAGCGCGCCGUCCCCAUCCAGGUCCAUGCAGCGGAACCAGUACUCGAUGCCGCGGGCCAGGCCGGGCGGGUCAGGGGGCCGGGGCGGGGGGACCCCGACCCGGGCACCCGGGGCGGGCGCGCGAGCACCUGGUGGGCGUCGUCUUGUCCUCCCUCGGAGAUGAGGAACCACACGGGGUCGGCGUAGCUCAGCCGCCCGUCCUGCUGCACGCGCCCGGCCUCUGCGGAUGACCCGACCAAGCGCCCCGGCUCAUGGGGCUGCCCACGCCCGCGGGCAGGGGCGCUUCUGGGACCAGGGCGGGCGGGGACUCCGGGGACUCCCGACCUGACCUAC